UGAUUCAAUUAGCUAUGGAUCUUAAGAUCCCAGCUUUAGGGCAGGCCCUGAGUGCAAUGGCUUGUGUCUUUAUAAAAGAGUGGAGAGGGGCAUCUGGAUGCAGACACGGGGAGAAGGCCACGUAAAGACACAGAGGCACAACGCUGCACACUGCAGACUACCAGUGGCCCCCAGAGGCUGGGAGACAGGCCCGGAGCAGAUCCUCCCUUGGCGCCUCCAGAAGGAGCCAACCCUGCCCGCAGCGGACCUCGGACUUCCGGCCUCCACCACUGUAAGACCACUAGACGUGUUGUAUGAAGCCCUCCAGAUUGUGGCAAGUUCGUUACAGGAGCCCCAGGAAACUGAUAGACUUGCUAACAUUCCAAACAAUUUACCAUGUUCAUUAUCUGCCUCCUCUUUCUAGAGGGUACCUUCUUACGAGGGGAGAGGUUUCUGCCUCUUUAUCCAGCAAGGGCUCCCAAGCUGCUACACACAGCCCACCACCUGGUGACAGAUCAGUGACAAUAGAGGGAUGAAUGCCAGCACACAGGCUGGGGGUCAGUCCGCCACACCCUGAACCCCGGCUCCACCAUCUACCAGUCGCGUGACUUUGGGCAGGUCCCCAGGCCUCUCUCAACCCAGAGUUCCUCUUCUGUGGGGUGCAAAUAAUAACAGCCACUCCCUCGUGGCGCUGUGACAAGGUGUGAACGCCUACAAAGGCUUACAGCGUGUCUGGUACACGGUAACCCCCCAAUGUUAGCCGUCAGAAAUGGAGUCACCCUAAAAUAAAUCAACAGUGGGUCCCGAUGGGGGCAAUUACCCCUCCCCCAAGGGGGGGGGGGGUGCGUGUUGGGGGACCUGUCACACCGGGUGGGAGGGGUGCUGCAGCAUCUAGCAGGCGGAGGGGUGGAGGCCAGGGAUGCUCUCCAGUCUCCUCCCAAAUGUCCACAGAGCCGGCUGAGAAGUCCGCAGAGGAGAGGAAGCAGGACUUUGACGCCGAGUAAAAGCGGGGACACUGAGUGACAAAUGUGGAGAGGCUGUGUUCCUAAGACGAGGCCAAGACCUGACCCAGUGGCUGCCCGGAGGUUCUACAGCCCGCAGGCAGGGGCGGUCUGACCCCCGCCUCCUCUGGAGGCACGAAGGCCACCACUAUUCCCGCCACCGUCCCACAACCAGUGGCACCAUCGGCGACAAGGACACGGUUUCCCAGGGCCACCCUUUAGAUACGAACUCCUCCCGCCUUCAACGCUGAGGCCCCGGCAGCCUCCGACCACGGGAGGUUUGCCGCCGCCCUGCUGGGCCCAGGUGGGGAGGACUCAUCGCCGGUGACGCACCGCAAGCCCCUCGCUCCCACUGCGCCACAGGCGGGACGAGUCUCUUUCCUCUCGUCCAGAGCGCUUCCAAAGCAGCAGGCACGGUGCCGGGGAGACGUCAGCGACCGCCUGCAGAAGAAGGGACCGUCUGUGGCGGACGGGCCUCCACGCCCGCCCCGUGCGCCCUGCACGGUCCACGGCUUGGGGAAGACACCCGCCAAGGCCGAGAACGGGUACGAGAGCAGGAAAGGAGCGUAGCGGGGCCGCGGACCUCAGCCCACAGAGGAGGCUGCUGGGCCGCCCGGGCCCCCCAUCAAAGCCUGAAGCCAAAAAGGAAACAAGAAAAAGAAAGCAAGGAAGCAAGAAAGAGAGUACGUUUCUGCCAGCUACCGGGAGAGCACAAGCAGCCAUCUGGGUUGGCCAAGGGGAGAAGGCCAGGAGCCAAGCACGCUGAGGCCAGGGCCCCCCUUCCGGGGCCCCUCGGACAGCCGGGCACCAGGUCGCCAGUGCCAGCCGGCCCCAGCGACGCGCCGGGCCCAAGGCCACACUAUGUGGGACUCACCCCGAGUCCUCGCAGGAGCCCAGGGAAGCUUCCCCCGUCUCCCAGGUGGAAGGGCUGGAGCCUCAGCCAGUCGGGGAGGCCGCCGGCCAGCACGUGGGACAGCACGGCGUGGCCCCUCCCUCCACGCUGCCGUCCGGCUGCCGGUCCCGAGCAAGCCCUGAGCGGAGCCCCCCUUCUUCCUCGUCCCCUUCCCCAUCACCUCCAUCACCUCCAUCCUCCCUCUGGUCUUCCGAACCCUGAACCGGUUCACGGCGCUGUGACCCUCCACCGUGGCCUCCGAGGCCGUCCCUCACCGACGCGACGCGGGGCUGACAUUAUGUGUCCCUUCCCCACUCCCACCGUUCACGCAGUGCGCCGAGCUGCUAACCAGAGAGAGUUCCAUCCCAUCACACACGGCAUGGACUAUUUAUAACCCCGGAAACAUCUUUAUUAUUAUUUCUCUCCCCCCGCGUCCCCCCUCCAGAAACAAUCUCACACGAUCCUGAGUGCACGCCGCCGUGGAGGGCUACGGGGCUGCGGGGCCGCGGGCCGGGGCGCUUCCUCCGGCCCUGCCCGGCGAGCAGAUGGCAGCGUGGGCGUUAGGUACCAGCCUCCUGGCAAUCGGAACAUCUGUUCCCGUUAGAAAAUGCUAAUUGCCAUCAAUCAGGACAGCACCUACCCACAUUUACAUGCAAGCACACGCAAAAAAAAAAAAAAAAAAAAAAAAAAAUACAUCUAAAUUUCUUCAAGCACAACACUCCCUGCAUGAUAAUUAGGCGGGUCUGUGCCUUCACCACACGAGGAGUAGCCAGGGGGGGCCAGCCCUCAUCCAGAAGGAUCCAACCUUGACCACCCCCAGCCUCUCCGGGACCUGCCCCUGGACCCACAUCGAGGAAAGAGGUUGAGGAAUCCCUCAGUGGGAGGCCGGGCUCCGGCCUCCCCCACAGCCUCUCGUCUGCCCGCCCCGGGGGUGGACACGGGGUCGCUGGCUCUGCACCGUGAGGGUCGGGUCACCCGAACAGAACUCCUGCAGGGAGCAGACACUCCUUUGAGCUCUGGGUUUGCAGGGGCUGGCAACCUCUCUCUGAGCCUCGCAGAAACAACCCGGCCAAAUCCUUCAGCCCAGGAGUCUGCUCCGUCUGCAAAUCUGAGGGGUGGUCCAGAAGUCUCCCUGCCCUAAGUGCUUGUGCGGAGAUGCUCUGCAGUUCUGGAAUGUUCCAGCCCCAGGUGCCCUUGUGUAGCAGGCCAGGGGUCGGGUGGGACCAUGCGCUGGUGGCUGUUCUCCGUCCCCUAGCCCUGGGUCCCUCGGGCCAGCACUGGGUUGAGACAUCGCGUACUUCCCCAGACCUCGGUGAUCUGGAACGCUCCUGGGAGACGGGGGAGAACUGCAGAGUGGUCUGCAGUGAUUCAAGAUGCUGAUGACAUACCACAGGUGACGCCCUGCCAGCAGCCUGAGGGCCCUCCACGCUUCCAGAAGGUAGGCUCAGAAUAUCAGCCUAUUCUGUAACAGGGAACGAGGAUUUUCCUGAAAGCCCUUCCACACGCCCACACGCACACCCCGAAGAAAGCAAGCGAAUUUGCUCAUUUUUCUCCUGGACACGGGUGCUGUUGCCAGCCGUGGCUGCUAUGAGGCCCAGGGACUGGUUUGAGGGGUCAGCUUGUCCUAACAAAAAGGGGUGUCUCGCGGCCGAUGAGUGAGGCCCAGGCUCCCUUUGCCUUGAGGAUCGACGUCACCAGGUGGGAAGGAGGGCCUCCGGGGCUCCAAGCUGGCAGGUGGGGUCACAACCCGUGUUGACCACAUCCCGACAGUGUAGAAACAGGGUCUGUGAACUGCGGCCCAGGCCCACCUUCACGCCGCAGGAGAGGUGUAUACAAGAUGCAUGGCGGGUCUGUUGUGGCAUGUGGUUAAGAGAGCCGUGGGUCACCCCUCUCCCCAUCUUUAGUUCCCCAAAGCAAGGUGUCUUCGUCAGAGGUCUCAGGUGAUGAACAGAAAACAAGGAGCUGGGCCCAUGGAGGGAAGAGACAGAGAAGGAGAGGCGGGAAAAUCUCACGCCGUGUUGCCAAUUUAUUUUUCUUUUAAGAAGACCACUGUGCUCAGGGCCUGAUAAAAACAGGGAAGAUGCUGGGGACACAGCCACAUGCUGUCUGUGAAGUGUGUCCCAGCUGGAUGCCGUGGCCAGCCUGCCUGGAAAAGGAAGGCUUGCAAACCCCACCAGGCAGCUCCCGCUCCUGGCUGUUCCCCAGCUGCGAAGGUGGGUGGUAGUACCUGUGCCCCACAUCGCUCCCCCCACCCAGGCUCCGUGGCGGCCAGUCGUCAGGAUCUAGUGGGACUUCAUCCAGAUCCGGCCCAUGCCAGGCUCUGUGUCCUGUGGGCCACUUUAACCGGGCUCAUUACUGUCUUUUCUCAAAUUUCAGUCUUUCUCUCCACUAAGGUCUUGGGAGUGCUCCUGGGUGGAGACCUUGAGCGGGGUCUCCAGAGUCUGUCCUCCCUCCCCCUGGCCUCCCCCAUCCUGUUCUCUGAGCCUCCAAUUUCUCCUGUAGCCCAGGCCCGGCUCUGCCCCGUCCGAAGCCGUCAUGGAGGCAUGGAAGUUGCACUUGGCCAGAAGGAGCAGCUGGACAGUCACCAGCUGUGGGAAGGCGGGGGAGGGGGGAACAGGAGCCCACAGAGAGGCAAUAAUGUGGGUGGGACAGCCAGGACACAGGCAGGGGGCAGGACAGGUUCUGGGGGGCGGGGGCCAGACCGUGGAAGUCAGAGUCAGAUGUCACAGGCCCCCCCCUCAGUCCCGACCGUCACUCCACAAGGUUCCUCUGGCAUAUUUCCACGUCCCUUCCUGGCCUUUCUCCUUCCUCUUCUCCUUUCCCACAUCUUAGCUUUCCCGCCCUCGUGCGUUUGCCGAGUCCUGAGAGCUGCCAUGAGCCUCAGCUCAGCAAAGAAACACAACUGUGAUCGUCUGCCCUGACCACCCCGAUAAGAUCAAGAACGGAUGAAGUUUUCAAAAUCAUCUUUGCAAUAUUAGUAAUAACGAGCAAUGAAAAUAAACAAAGACUUCCAGAGAGAAAAAGGGGAUGGGCAGACGGACAGACAGAUGAACAGACACCCACACACGCUGAACCGCGUAUCCUCAAAACUCACGUGUUCAAGCCCUAAGCCCCAGCAGCACCUCAGAAUGUGACCAUAUCUGGAGAUGGGGCUUUUAGAGGUCAUUACAUUAACCCACCCGUGGCUGGUGUUCUUUUGGAAGAGGAGAUCAGGACACAGACACGCACAGGGGGACGACCCUGUGAGGACACAGGGAGAAGGUGGCCGGCUGCGAGCCCAGAACAGAGACCUCGGGAGAGACCGCCCCGGCCACCACCUGGAUCCUGGACAUACAGCCCCCAGAACUGCGAGGCCACCCAGCCUGUGGUCUUUGUUACGGCAGCCUCAGCACAGUAGAGUCCCCCGCACAUCCGACGUCACCGAGGCACGUUCUCGAGGCAGGACCUUGCUCUGGGUGUGCUGGCCCAUGUCACAGCCUAUUUGAGAUGUGAUGGGUACCCUCUCCAGUCAGGCCUGCUCAAAGCACCUGUGGAGAAGGGCUCUGUACGUAAGGAACGUAGAUCCCAUACGAAAGGGAUUACUGGGAAACACAGAAUAAAAAAGACAAGAUACAAAGCCCAAUUUCUCACGAAUGGAUCCACAAGCUAUGAAGUCACUCUCAUAAACGACUCUCCGUGCUUAUUCCCAGGCCCUGCCCUCAUCUUCCGGGGACCAGGGGCAGUGGCUCAAGGGCAGGCUCUGUCCAUAGACCUCACCUUGAGUAGCUCUCUGAUUUGUAAAUUUUUUUCAACGUUUAUUUUUGAGAGACAGACAGAGACAGAGUGCCAGUGGGGGAGGGGCAGAGAGAAAGAGAGACACAGAAUCCC
This is a long non-coding RNA of Leopardus geoffroyi (Geoffroy's cat), 5739 nucleotides long. RefSeq lists it as uncharacterized. Lineage: Eukaryota; Metazoa; Chordata; Mammalia; Carnivora; Felidae. The record is from RefSeq and is a predicted model, not a curated record. The transcript is spliced from 3 exons.